RNAcentral lists this ribosomal RNA (510 nucleotides) under Triticum aestivum (bread wheat). Its description in RNAcentral is "partial small subunit ribosomal RNA". The record is from RNAcentral. Lineage: Eukaryota; Viridiplantae; Streptophyta; Magnoliopsida; Poales; Poaceae.
AUGAGGCAAGGAGGAUUGCGGCUGCGAGCGCUUGCAGACCUGCCACGCAGCAUAUCUGAUGUUGCCCAAUUCUACCGGGCUGAAGAGAAGAAGUCUGCGGAGAAGCAUUUCUGGUCGCAGUAUUUGGCACCGAAUUAUCCGGUGCCCUUUGUCAAUCAGCUGAAGCAGUUGAUCGAACUGCACCAGGCGGCCGAACUAGCCAUGAAGGACUUAGUUGUCUGGCUGUGGCCCGCUGAGCCAAUUCCAAGCAGUUACUUUGGACUCGUGAAGCAGAUUGUUGGUGCUUGCCCUUGGCUCAAAGUCAUUAAGCGGUCGGUCUGUAUAGAAGGUGCACGCAUGGCAUUUGCCCGUGCGAAGGUGCACUGGGGGAAGCUUGAUGCUGAAAAGCUGAUGACUGAGGGACCACCGGAGGGUAAGGAGCACCGCAAGCCCGAAUUAUAUUAUGAUGGUGUCCUGAAAGGAGCCCUCCUUGUGGCAGAACAGUGUACCAAAGACACUAUAUUUCCCUGA